UCCUCACCGAAACCCGGCGCCUGGCGACGGACAAGG
This 36-nucleotide small RNA is filed under the name Curtobacterium sp. ER1/6. The record is from RNAcentral. Lineage: Bacteria; Bacillati; Actinomycetota; Actinomycetes; Micrococcales; Microbacteriaceae.